RNAcentral lists this ribosomal RNA (515 nucleotides) under uncultured bacterium. Its description in RNAcentral is "partial 16S ribosomal RNA". It matches the Rfam family "Bacterial small subunit ribosomal RNA", at positions 28 to 523 of the family's 1533-position model. The record is from RNAcentral.
GAUGAACGCUGGCGGCGUGCCUAAUACACGCAAGUCGAGCGAAUGGAUUAAGAGCUUGCUCUUAUGAAGUUAGCGGCGGACGGGUGAGUAACACGUGGGUAACCUGCCCAUAAGACUGGGAUAACUCCGGGAAACCGGGGCUAAUACCGGAUAAUAUUUUGAACCGCAUGGUUCGAAAUUGAAAGGCGGCUUCGGCUGUCACUUAUGGAUGGACCCGCGUCGCAUUAGCUAGUUGGUGAGGGAACGGCUCACAAAGGCAACGAUGCGUAGCCGACGUGAGAGGGUGAUCGGCCACACUGGGACUGAGACACGGCCCAGACUCCUACGGGGGGCAGCAGUAGGGAAUCUUCCGCAAUGGACGAAAGUCUGACGGAGCAACGCCGCGUGAGUGAUGAAGGCUUUCGGGUCGUAAAACUCUGUUGUUAGGGAAGAACAAGUGCUAGUUGAAUAAGCUGGCACCUUGACGGUACCUAACCAGAAAGCCACGGCUAACUACGUGCCAGCCGCCGCCGUAA